Molecule: ribosomal RNA, 500 nt
Filed under: uncultured bacterium
Lineage: Bacteria
Description: partial 16S ribosomal RNA
Rfam family: Bacterial small subunit ribosomal RNA
Source: RNAcentral
GACGAACGCUGGCGGCGUGCCUAAUACAUGCAAGUCGAGCGGACUGAUUAAGAGCUUGCUCUUAUGACGUUAGCGGCGGACGGGUGAGUAACACGUGGGCAACCUGCCCUGUAGAUCGGGAUAACACCGAGAAAUCGGUGCUAAUACCGGGUAAUAUCUGAGAUCACAUGAUCUUAGGUUAAAAGAUGGCUCCGGCUAUCACUACAGGAUGGGCCCGCGGCGCAUUAGCUAGUUGGUAAGGUAAUGGCUUACCAAGGCGACGAUGCGUAGCCGACCUGAGAGGGUGAUCGGCCACACUGGGACUGAGACACGGCCCAGACUCCUACGGGAGGCAGCAGUAGGGAAUCUUCCGCAAUGGACGAAAGUCUGACGGAGCAACGCCGCGUGAGUGAUGAAGGGUUUCGGCUCGUAAAGCUCUGUUGUUAGGGAAGAAACAGUAACGAACGAACUAGGUCGGUACCUUGACGGUACCUAACCAGAAAGCCACGGCUAACUACGUG